UAUGUGAUCGUCUCUCGCAUAUCAAUAAGCGGAGGAAAAGAAACUAACAAGGAUUCCCUUAGUAACGGCGAGUGAAGCGGGAAGAGCUCAAAUUUGAAAUCUUCAAGGUUUUACCUUGACGAAUUGUAGUUUAAAGAAGUGUUUUCUGUUGAAGUUUUGGUAAAAGUUCUUUGGAAUAGGACAUCAUAGAGGGUGAGAAUCCCGUAUUUGACCAUUAUUUUCAGCUGUGUGAUACACUUUCAAAGAGUCGGAUUGUUUGGGAAUGCAGUCCAAAAUGGGUGGUAAAUUUCAUCUAAAGCUAAAUAUUGGCGAGAGACCGAUAGCGAACAAGUACCGUGAGGGAAAGAUGAAAAGAACUUUGAAAAGAGAGUUAAACAGUACGUGAAAUUGUCAAAAGGGAAGCGUUUGACACCAGUGUUGUUUUCUCGAAAAUCAAUUAAAAAGAGCUUAGAUUUUGUUGUGUAUUGACCUUAACAGCUUGCAUUUCAAUUUUCUUGCUUUUUUUAAUGCACUUUUCGUUUAACAAGUCAACAUCAGUUUCUUUUGUUGUAAAAAGGUCAUUGGAAGGUGGCUUUCUUUUCGGAGAAAGUGUUUAUAGCCUUUGACUCCUGCAAUCGGAGAGACUGAGGUCUGCAGCGUAGAUCCUUCGGGGUUAGAUACAUUUGUGCUAAGUUAUAGCUUUUUAUAGACAACUUGUUGACUAUGAUUAGUCUUGUAGCUUACUCGCUUAUGCUAUUUUACCUACGCUUAGGAUGUUGAAGAUGUAGCACAUCAU
This 775-nucleotide ribosomal RNA is filed under the name uncultured Neocallimastigales. RNAcentral's name for it is "partial large subunit ribosomal RNA". It matches the Rfam family "Eukaryotic large subunit ribosomal RNA", at positions 24 to 635 of the family's 3401-position model. Lineage: Eukaryota; Fungi; Neocallimastigomycota; Neocallimastigomycetes; Neocallimastigales. The record is from RNAcentral.